Long non-coding RNA from Esox lucius (northern pike), 247 nucleotides. RefSeq lists it as uncharacterized. Lineage: Eukaryota; Metazoa; Chordata; Actinopteri; Esociformes; Esocidae. The record is from RefSeq and is a predicted model, not a curated record. The transcript is spliced from 3 exons.
AUGGAUGGUGUUGCACCGGUAAAAGUAAAGAAAACUAUGAGCAAACCGAAAACACCAUGGAGAACCACCAUGGCCCCGACCACCCCAAGGACGCACAUCUACACCAAAACACCAUGUGGAUUGCAGCCCUGGAGGAUGGUGCAAGCACAGUACUCCAAGGCACCAGAGACAUACUCCACAUACUUCAUGUAGAGGAUUGCUACAUAGGACAAGAAGGCAGAGGUAGGGGGCAGUUUUAGCUCUGCAC